GAUGAACGCUGGCGGCGUGCCUAAUACAUGCAAGUCGAGCGAACAGACGAGGAGCUUGCUCCUCUGACGUUAGCGGCGGACGGGUGAGUAACACGUGGAUAACCUACCUAUAAGACUGGGAUAACUUCGGGAAACCGGAGCUAAUACCGGAUAAUAUAUUGAACCGCAUGGUUCAAUAGUGAAAGACGGUUUUGCUGUCACUUAUAGAUGGAUCCGCGCCGCAUUAGCUAGUUGGUAAGGUAACGGCUUACCAAGGCAACGAUGCGUAGCCGACCUGAGAGGGUGAUCGGCCACACUGGAACUGAGACACGGUCCAGACUCCUACGGGAGGCAGCAGUAGGGAAUCUUCCGCAAUGGGCGAAAGCCUGACGGAGCAACGCUGCGUGAGGGAUGAAGGUCUUCGGAUCGUAAAACUCUGUUAUUAGGGAAGAACAAAUGUGUAAGUAACUAUGCACGUCUUGACGGUACCUAAUCAGAAAGCCACGGCUAACUACGUG
This 497-nucleotide ribosomal RNA is filed under the name uncultured bacterium. Its description in RNAcentral is "partial 16S ribosomal RNA". It matches the Rfam family "Bacterial small subunit ribosomal RNA", at positions 28 to 507 of the family's 1533-position model. The record is from RNAcentral.